GGAAAUAUUACGCAAAAUGUAGAGAGGCAAUCAUCGAGAGAACCAGGAGACAUCACGCAAAUUGUGGAGAGGCAAUCAUCGAGAGAACCAGACGCAGCCAAGAAACAAACUCCAGUUGGAGCCAACAUUCAAUACAUUAGCCUUGCCCUUCUCCUUUUCUUCAUGCUUUACAUUGUAAGAAGACACAGAGUUUGUAGGUGAGUUCGGAGACUGAGAGUGGAUUAUCCCUUCAGCGAGAAUUGAAUUCAUCAAAGAGCAAUCCCACUAUGUUAUAAAUGAAGAUCAGAGCUUUGGAAUCACAGACUGUUACAAUAUGGAAGCAAUUUUCACAUUUCGCCUCUGUUCUUUUACCCUUUUAAGAACCAAGCCUUUUCAUUCAUGUUGCCUCUUCCAACUACAAUGGGGCAUUUACUUGAGACUUUAGAGAUACACCGCUGGAAGAAUCUAUCUUGCUUUUUUAUAACACCCAAAAUAAAAAAGCAGACAACUUGCUGUCCAACAACACUGUUGGAGUCUGUGUGGGAGUACGGAGGCAGAACACUCGCAUAUUUUCUGGAACUGUGUAAAGAUAAGGCCAUACUGGAAAAAUGUUAAUGCAGCUGUAAAAAAUAUCUUGGGUUAUAAAAUCCCAAGUACCUGCCCUGUGAUGUAUCUGGGGUGUAUUAAAGAUAUUGUAAAAAUAGAAGAUACAUAUUUAAAUAAAGUUUUGCUUGCAGCAAGUAAGAAGGCCAUUACCAGGCAGUGGCUUAAUGAAAAAAGUCCAAAACAGGAACAGUGGUUAGAAAUUGUGCGAGAUCUUUAAUAUGGAGAAAUUGACACAUUCUUUGAGUCAAAGAGAAGUUAUUUGAGAAGAUCUGGGAAAAAUGGACUGUUUAUUUGAGCCAUGACACCAAUUAGAUAAAUGCCGAGCUAGAUAUGGGAAGAUUGCGUUAUAUAGAACUAGAUGGUAUGUUUGUAUGAAUAUUGAAUUAUCUCCAGAUAACUAAUCAAUGUCAUGUUUUUUCUUUUUUUUAAUUUGGUAAGUGAAC
Long non-coding RNA from Leucoraja erinaceus (little skate), 1028 nucleotides. RefSeq lists it as uncharacterized. The transcript has 5 exons. The record is from RefSeq and is a predicted model, not a curated record. NCBI's taxonomy places the organism in Eukaryota, Metazoa, Chordata, Chondrichthyes, Rajiformes, Rajidae.